UAUGGUAUGGAACUCAAGCAGAUGAAUGCUUCCCAAGCGCCAUUCAUGCAGGAUCAACACCAAUUGAUUCCCAUUUCCACAACUAUAUCCGUGGUAAGGUCUACCCUGCACCAAGAAUGUGGUAUGUAAGGGUCAAUGUAAUUGAGGCACAGGAUAUAUUCACAAUGGAGCACCACCACAUACCUAAUGUGUUUGUAAAGGUGAGGAUUGGUCACCAAUUGCUGAAGACAAGGCAAGUUCGCUCACCAACCAAAAACUUCAUGUGGAAUGAGGAGAUGAUGUUUGUCGCAGCAGAGCCUUUUGAGGAUGACUUGAUCAUACAAAUAGAAGAUCGUGUUGCACAGGACAAAGAUGAGGUAAUUGGUGAAGCUAUCAUACCUAUCGCAAGGCUUCAAAAGAGGGCUGAUCACAAGGCGAUAGUACGCCCAGUGUGGUUUGAUCUGAGGAGACCAGGACUGAUUGACAUGAACCAGCUAA
Molecule: long non-coding RNA, 477 nt
Filed under: Brachypodium distachyon (stiff brome)
Lineage: Eukaryota; Viridiplantae; Streptophyta; Magnoliopsida; Poales; Poaceae
Description: long non-coding RNA (BDIS_LNC000406)
Source: RNAcentral